GACGAACGCUGGCGGCGUGCUUAACACAUGCAAGUCGAACGGAAAGGCCCUGCUUUUUUGGUGUUCUCGAGUGGCGAACGGGUGAGUAACACGUUAGUAACCUGCCCUUGACUUUGGGAUAACUUCAGGAAACUGGGGCUAAUACCGUAUAGCAUCUCCUGCUGCAUGUUGUGGGUUGGAAAUUUUCGGCUGUUGGGGAUGGACUCGCGGAUUAUCAUCUUGUUGGGGUUGUAGUGGCUUACCAAGGCUUUGACGGGUAGCCGGCAUGAGAGUGUGAACGGGAAAAAUGGGACUGAGAGAAGGAACAGAGUAGAAAGGGAGGCAGGAGUGGGGAAUAUGGAAAAAGGGGAGGAAGCCUGAUGAAGAAACGACGCGUGCGGGAUGACGGCCUUCGGGUUGUAAAAAGCUUUAGCCUGUGACGAAGCGUGAGUGACGGUAAUGGGUAAAGAAGCACCGGCUAACUACGUG
This 468-nucleotide ribosomal RNA is filed under the name uncultured bacterium. RNAcentral describes it as "partial 16S ribosomal RNA". It matches the Rfam family "Bacterial small subunit ribosomal RNA", at positions 28 to 507 of the family's 1533-position model. The record is from RNAcentral.